GAACCAGAAGUGUCACAAACAACAGAACCGACCACUUUUAUCGAUAAUAAAAUGACAAUAUGUCCAGGUAAAAGCCAAGGGAGUGAUAGAAAAAUAAUGAGAAAGAAAAGAAUAAAUAAAAUAUGGGAAACUCACCAAACUGCCUCACCGCUUGUUUAAAUUUAAAAAUUGAAGCCCUUAUUUCACCCAAAAGAAAGCAUUUGAAAUAGAAGGAUGAAGUUUG
Molecule: unclassified non-coding RNA, 223 nt
Filed under: Hevea brasiliensis (rubber tree)
Lineage: Eukaryota; Viridiplantae; Streptophyta; Magnoliopsida; Malpighiales; Euphorbiaceae
Source: RNAcentral